This 253-nucleotide ribosomal RNA is filed under the name uncultured bacterium. RNAcentral describes it as "partial 16S ribosomal RNA". It matches the Rfam family "Bacterial small subunit ribosomal RNA", at positions 524 to 776 of the family's 1533-position model. The record is from RNAcentral.
UACGUAGGGUGCGAGCGUUGUCCGGAAUUAUUGGGCGUAAAGAGCUCGUAGGCGGUGUGUCACGUCGGCCGUGAAAACCUGCAGCUUAACUGUGGGCGUGCGGUCGAUACGGGCAGACUUGAGUUCGGUAGGGGAGACUGGAAUUCCUGGUGUAGCGGUGAAAUGCGCAGAUAUCAGGAGGAACACCGGUGGCGAAGGCGGGUCUCUGGGCCGAUACUGACGCUGAGGAGCGAAAGCGUGGGGAGCGAACAGG